UUUCCGUAGGUGAACCUGCGGAAGGAUCAUUCAUAAUAAAGUGUUUUAUGGCACUUUUUAAAAAUCCAUAUCCACCUUGUGUGCAAUGUUAGAUCUCAUCAAUCUUGGCGAGAUUUUUAUACAUCAACUCAUUCUUUAACUAAUUUGUCUGAAAAUAUUAUGAAUACUUAAUUCAAAAUACAACUUUCAACAACGGAUCUCUUGGCUCUC
RNAcentral lists this unclassified non-coding RNA (210 nucleotides) under plant metagenome. RNAcentral's name for it is "partial contains small subunit ribosomal RNA, internal transcribed spacer 1, and 5.8S ribosomal RNA". The record is from RNAcentral.